RNAcentral lists this ribosomal RNA (427 nucleotides) under uncultured bacterium. RNAcentral describes it as "bacterial SSU rRNA". It matches the Rfam family "Bacterial small subunit ribosomal RNA", at positions 355 to 774 of the family's 1533-position model. The record is from RNAcentral.
UGGGGAAUUUUGGACAAUGGGCGAAAGCCUGAUCCAGCAAUGCCGCGUGCAGGAUGAAGGCCUUCGGGUUGUAAACUGCUUUUGUACGGAACGAAAAAGCUUCUCCUAAUACGAGAGGCCCAUGACGGUACCGUAAGAAUAAGCACCGGCUAACUACGUGCCAGCAGCCGCGGUAAUACGUAGGGUGCGAGCGUUAAUCGGAAUUACUGGGCGUAAAGCGUGCGCAGGCGGUUAUGUAAGGCAGAUGUGAAAUCCCCGGGCUCAACCUGGGAACUGCAUUUGUGACUGCAUGGCUAGAGUACGGUAGAGGGGGAUGGAAUUCCGCGUGUAGCAGUGAAAUGCGUAGAUAUGCGGAGGAACGCCGAUGGCGAAGGCAAUCCCCUGGACCUGUACUGACGCUCAUGCACGAAAGCGUGGGGAGCAAACA